AAACUACGGAAGGGAAAGAAGCUCACCUAGAUUGAUUAUCUGGAAGACGAGCCUGAUUAUUCAACUUAAAUUGGAACGUGGUGCACUGGAAGAAUUUUGGAGAAGGACAUUCAAGCAAGGGUAAAAGUGUGAUGAAUCGAAGUGCUAGACUUGGUUGGAUUUGCGAGUAGAAGUUGAGUAGAAAUAUUAUGUAAUCGAAAGAAAUAUUUGUGAACUUUUAGAAGAGUGAUGUAAGACUCUGAUGUAAGGUAAAAUAUGCCUUUAAGUUAUAUUAAGUUUGAGAUUAUGAAGA
Long non-coding RNA from Daucus carota subsp. sativus, 292 nucleotides. RefSeq lists it as uncharacterized. NCBI's taxonomy places the organism in Eukaryota, Viridiplantae, Streptophyta, Magnoliopsida, Apiales, Apiaceae. The record is from RefSeq and is a predicted model, not a curated record. The transcript is spliced from 2 exons.